RNAcentral lists this ribosomal RNA (291 nucleotides) under uncultured bacterium. Its description in RNAcentral is "partial 16S ribosomal RNA". It matches the Rfam family "Bacterial small subunit ribosomal RNA", at positions 506 to 796 of the family's 1533-position model. The record is from RNAcentral.
UGCCAGCAGCCGCGGUAAUACGAAGGGUCCAAGCGUUGUUCGGAAUCAUUGGGCGUAAAGCGCGCGCAGGCGGAUCAGUAAGUCAGGUGUGAAAUCUCAGAGCUCAACUCUGAAACUGCGCCUGAAACUACUAGUCUAGAAUGUCGGAGGGGGCAGGGGAAUUUCACGUGUAGGGGUAAAAUCCGUAGAGAUGUGAAGGAACACCGGAGGCGAAGGCGCCUGCCUGGACGACUAUUGACGCUGAGGCGCGAAAGCGUGGGGAGCAAACAGGAUUAGAUACCCUGGUAGUCC